RNAcentral lists this ribosomal RNA (465 nucleotides) under Vreelandella stevensii. Its description in RNAcentral is "partial 16S ribosomal RNA". It matches the Rfam family "Bacterial small subunit ribosomal RNA", at positions 338 to 795 of the family's 1533-position model. Lineage: Bacteria; Pseudomonadati; Pseudomonadota; Gammaproteobacteria; Oceanospirillales; Halomonadaceae. The record is from RNAcentral.
CCUACGGGUGGCUGCAGUGGGGAAUAUUGGACAAUGGGCGAAAGCCUGAUCCAGCCAUGCCGCGUGUGUGAAGAAGGCCUUCGGGUUGUAAAGCACUUUCAGUGGGGAAGAAAGCCUUGGGGCUAAUACCCUCGAGGAAGGACAUCACCCACAGAAGAAGCACCGGCUAACUCCGUGCCAGCAGCCGCGGUAAUACGGAGGGUGCGAGCGUUAAUCGGAAUUACUGUGCGUAAAGCGCGCGUAGGCGGUCUGAUAAGCCGGUUGUGAAAGCCCCGGGCUCAACCUGGGAACGGCAUCCGGAACUGUCAGGCUAGAGUGCAGGAGAGGAAGGUAGAAUUCCCGGUGUAGCGGUGAAAUGCGUAGAGAUCGGGAGGAAUACCAGUGGCGAAGGCGGCCUUCUGGACUGACACUGACGCUGAGGUGCGAAAGCGUGGGUAGCAAACAGGAUUAGAUACCCCAGUAGUC